RNAcentral lists this transfer-messenger RNA (354 nucleotides) under Clostridiaceae. RNAcentral's name for it is "Clostridium_AK sp900185645 Standard tmRNA". It matches the Rfam family "transfer-messenger RNA". From Rfam's summary of the family: Bacterial tmRNA, also known as 10Sa RNA or SsrA, is named for its dual tRNA and mRNA-like properties. Lineage: Bacteria; Bacillati; Bacillota; Clostridia; Eubacteriales. RNAcentral also lists the same sequence under 1 other name. The record is from RNAcentral.
GGGGGCGUACAUGGUUUCGACGGGGGUAAGUUGCCCCUGAGAAGCGAGUCGAGGGUCCUGGACCCGCGUUAAAAAACUAGGAAAAAUAUAAACGCAAACGAUAAUUUAGCGUUAGCUGCCUAAUUAGCGCAGCUCGUCCUACCCGGGAGGCCUACGGCUUGGGAUUAGGGCGUCAUUUAGUAGGGAACCGAGCUCUACAAAGCUUUGAGUAGAGAACGGAAUUUAUGAAGCUACUGAAGUUUAAAGCCUGUUAGUGGGCGUUAAACCUAGGGAAUUUUAAAACACUAUCUGCACUCGGAGAUGCUCAGGAGUUACUACUUUCGGACAGCGGUUCGACACCGCUCGCCUCCACCA